RNAcentral lists this ribosomal RNA (497 nucleotides) under uncultured bacterium. RNAcentral's name for it is "partial 16S ribosomal RNA". It matches the Rfam family "Bacterial small subunit ribosomal RNA", at positions 28 to 507 of the family's 1533-position model. The record is from RNAcentral.
GAUGAACGCUGGCGGCGUGCCUAAUACAUGCAAGUCGAGCGAACAGACGAGGAGCUUGCUCCUCUGACGUUAGCGGCGGACGGGUGAGUAACACGUGGAUAACCUACCUAUAAGACUGGGAUAACUUCGGGAAACCGGAGCUAAUACCGGAUAAUAUAUUGAACCGCAUGGUUCAAUAGUGAAAGACGGUUUUGCUGUCACUUAUAGAUGGAUCCGCGCCGCAUUAGCUGGUUGGUAGGGUAACGCCUUACCAAGGGAACGUAGCGUAGCCGACCGGAGAGGGGGAUCGCCCACACGGGAACGGGAACCCGGCCCAGACUCCUACGGGAGGCAGCAGUAGGGAAUCUUCCGAAAUGGGCGAAAGCUUGACGGAGCAACGCCGCGUGGGUGAUGAAGGUCUUCGGAUCGUAAAACUCUGUUAUUGGGGAGGAACAAAUGUGUAAGUAACUAUGCACGUCUUGACGGUACCUAAUCAGAAAGCCACGGCUAACUACGUG